CCCUUAGAUGUUCUGGGCUGCACGCGCGCUACACUGAUGCGAUCAACAAGUUUUUCCUAUGUCGAUAGACACGGGUAAUCUUUUGAACUCGCAUCGUGAUGGGGAUAGAUUAUUGUAAUUAUUAAUCUUCAACGAGGAAUUCCUAGUAGGUGCAAAUCAUCAGUUUGCAUCGAUUACGUCCCUGCCCUUUGUACACACCGCCCGUCGCUGCUACCGAUUGGUUGAUCUGGUGAAUUAUUCGGACUGCCGGCUGAAGGGGUUUCCUCAUCUGCCAGCGGAAAGUCUUGUUAACCCUAUCGACUAGAGGAAGCAGAAGUCGUAACA
Molecule: ribosomal RNA, 324 nt
Filed under: uncultured eukaryote
Lineage: Eukaryota
Description: partial 18S ribosomal RNA
Rfam family: Eukaryotic small subunit ribosomal RNA
Source: RNAcentral